GAAUUCCUUUGCUAAAACAUAGGCUGCAGCAGUUGCCGGAUUCUGACAAUAUAGCAAUUGCUUUUCCUGAUGAUGGAGCAUGGAAAAGAUUUCAUAAACAGCUGCAGCAUUUUCCUACGAUCGUAUGUGCCAAAGUUCGGGAAGGAGACCAAAGAAUUGUGCGGCUAAAGGAGGGAGAACCAAGAGGACGGCAUGUUGUGAUUGUUGAUGAUU
Molecule: unclassified non-coding RNA, 213 nt
Filed under: Hevea brasiliensis (rubber tree)
Lineage: Eukaryota; Viridiplantae; Streptophyta; Magnoliopsida; Malpighiales; Euphorbiaceae
Source: RNAcentral